CUUGCAAAACAGUUCUCAACACAAUGCUUUGUGUGUAAAAGGAACGGCGGGAAUGGAUUCAAGUUGCGCAUCGUGAUAAAUGGCGUGAAUAUCCUGAGCGGGUGGACAGCCCUUCUCCGUGAGUUUUUUCUUUUCUUUUCCAGUCACCAAGACAGCACGCGUGUGCAGAAGCUGCAGCGGUGGGACGCAGUGCUAAGUCUGGGGGCGCCGACACCAGCUCGCGCGUCGCGAGCUCGCCUGGGCAGCUCGGCGGUCGCGGCGAAACAGCUCCCACGUCCGCCUUCCACCGACUCCUCGGUCUUAGAGCGGACGAGGCGUCCCCCCAGAGGAAAGACUGGGCGCCGCAGACGCCCCUUGGAGAAGUCCCCGGCCACUCGCCCCACCUCGGGGUCCUGUUCCUCUUGGGCUUCCCCUAAACCCUCCGGCGGGCGCUCCAGAGAGGCCCGUGGGACGCGAUUUGAAACGGGUCGUGCCCAGCCCAGCCCGCAUCUACUCGCCCGGCCAACAGCCCAGCCACAGCUUAGGGACUUUGAGGCGCCCGCGCCCCUUUGUCGCGGUAUCUCUCGCCCAAGCAGGCCGGACGCCGAGGCCUCGCGGUAUCGAGCCUCCGUCCGCCCCGCCUCCUCGCCCUCCACUCGGCCCCGCCCUCGCUCUCUCACCCCUCCCCCUCUCCCGCCUCGCUUCCCCGACAAUCUCCUCGCGCUCCCGGCCCGGCACGCGCGCUGCGCCCGGCCGCCGCCGCCGCUGCCGCCGCCGCCGCAGCUGCCGCCGAGCGUUCCUCCGCUGCGCCUGGCUUCCAGCUUCGGGCCGGAACCGGAAGUUUGGGGGGCGGAGCCCGGCGGAGGCCAGGAGACCGAAAACGCGGCCGAGCCCGGAGCCCGGAGCCGGAGCCAGAGCCUGGACCAGAACUUGGCCGCCGCCUGCACCGCUGCCGCUGCCGCCAGCCGCUCCUUCCCCGCGCCGCAGCCGCCUCGCCGCCACCGUCGCGAGCUCGGCCACCAGUGGUCCUCGGACUUUAGGUGUCCGGGUUGA
Molecule: long non-coding RNA, 1032 nt
Filed under: Piliocolobus tephrosceles (Ugandan red Colobus)
Lineage: Eukaryota; Metazoa; Chordata; Mammalia; Primates; Cercopithecidae
Description: lncRNA (ENSPTEG00000023951.1)
Source: RNAcentral